Long non-coding RNA from Coregonus clupeaformis (lake whitefish), 916 nucleotides. RefSeq lists it as uncharacterized. The transcript has 4 exons. The record is from RefSeq and is a predicted model, not a curated record. Lineage: Eukaryota; Metazoa; Chordata; Actinopteri; Salmoniformes; Salmonidae.
ACUAACAGGAACCGACUGACCUAUCGACCGACCAACAAACAGACAAGACAGUCAGACAGGCAGACAGGCAGACAGGCAGCGAGCCAUGUGAGAGCUUUCAUCCAGUACAAUUACAAGAGGAGCCAUUCAGUACUUCAGUACCAAUAUUUAUGCAGGAUAAGCGCUAAGCAAGAACAUUCUGGUUAGAGACUUAUAGGAGUGCCAGAAAGACAGCAUGGAAUAGGAUAAGUAACUACGAAGGAUGGUGAUGGAUGGAUUGAUGCUUUAUUGUAAUAAAGAGGACAGUGCCGUAUCUUCUGUGACUUUGGAGAGCGAUCGAAAAUGAGAAGAAUAAUAACUACACACACAUCAAUUCCAUCCAGCGCCCCCCAGUCCCACUCCCUCUCUACCUCUCUCCCUUCAUCACACAUGUCAACUCUGGGGGACAUCAAGUCUGAACUUUUCUACCACUCCAGGUAGAGUUCUUAAAUCCAAGGGAUGGAGCGGACCUUACUGAUGAUGGAGCCCAUGUUAGCCCUGGGGAACUGGAGAGAAAGGGAGAAGAGUGGUGGAAGUAGAAGAGAAGAGGAGAAACUCCAUCCUACCUCCUCAGCGUGCUGCUCCAUGCAGUUGAAGGCGUCCUCAUUAGCGUCAACCAGCAGGAAGCCCUGGUUGUUGAAGUUGAGCCUGGCUCCUACAUACAGGUCCUGGGCACUGAAAUAACUGGGAUAUCUCACUCUUAAACAGCUCCUGACCAGGCUUCUUCACCCUGCCACGCUCCAGGAACAUACCCCCCCACUAACACACCUGGAGCAGGGGUGAGAGGGAGAGGAGGUGAGGUAAGGGAGAAGAGGAGCACAGAACGGCCGUUAGAAUAUGUGGAAGAAGCCAUCUCAACCUGUCCUUAGUAAAAUGUAGACACUUCCACUUGACUUCG